Molecule: ribosomal RNA, 447 nt
Filed under: alpha proteobacterium OCS122
Lineage: Bacteria; Pseudomonadati; Pseudomonadota; Alphaproteobacteria
Description: bacterial SSU rRNA
Rfam family: Bacterial small subunit ribosomal RNA
Source: RNAcentral
GAGUUUGAUCAUGGCUCAGAACGAACGCUGGCGGCAGGCNUCAUACAUGCAAGUCGAGCGGUCCUUCGGGACAGCGGCGAACGGGUUAGUAACGCGUGGGAACGUGCCCUUUAGUACGGAAUAGCCAUUGGAAACGAUGAUUAAUACCGUAUACGCCCCAAGGGGGAAAGAUUUAUCGCUAAAGGAUCGGCCCGCGUUAGAUUAGGUAGUUGGUAGGGUAAUGGCCUACCAAGCCGACGAUCUAUAGCUGGUUUGAGAGGAUGAUCAGCAACACUGGGACUGAGACACGGCCCAGACUUCUACGGAAGGCAGCAGUAGGGAAUCUUGGACAAUGGGCGAAAGCCUGAUCCAGCCAUGCCGCGUGAGUGAUGAAGGCCCUAGGGUUGUAAAGCUCUUUCGCCAGGGAAGAUAAUGACGGUACCUGGUAAAGAAACCCCGGCUAACUCC